Molecule: long non-coding RNA, 323 nt
Organism: Piliocolobus tephrosceles (Ugandan red Colobus)
Lineage: Eukaryota; Metazoa; Chordata; Mammalia; Primates; Cercopithecidae
Exons: 2
Source: RefSeq, a predicted model, not a curated record
GAUUUAAAAUUAUGGAAAUUCUUCAGGUAGAAAAUGGGCACAUAUGGUUAUCACAGAAAAGCUGUUUUAAAGCCAGUAUUAAGGUAUUAUUAUGCUGCUCCCUUCAAGAAGUAAUUUGCGUGCUGUUUAUUGGAGCUUUGAAUUUAAUCAUCUCAAUCCCACGCUAUUGCAGGAUGACUAUACGAAGAUGUAUUGACAUUUCUUUGGACACAUUAUUUUGCCCCCAUUGUGUGUUGUUUUGCCAGAAUACUGAAGGCAGUGUUUGUAUGAUGGCACAUCCAAAUAAAAAGCAUGUCCUCCUUUUGGGACAGUGAUCCAUUUAA